CAUGUCUUUUUGAUUAUGAUUUAAAGUCUGGCCUGCCCGUUGAUAAUAAUUAAAUGGCUGCGGUAUUUUGACCGUACUAAGGUAGCAUAAUAAUUAGUUUUUUAAUUGGGGACUAGUAUGAAUGGCUGAACGAGAAAGUAACUGUCUCUAUAAUAAUUUUAUUAGAAUUUUAUUUUUAAGUUAAAAAGCUUAAAUUUCUAUAGAAGACGAGAAGACCCUAUAGAGCUUAAUAUAAAUGGAUAUGGGAUUUUUUGGAAACUGUUAGUUUUAUAUUUUUUAAAUAUUUGGUUGGGGUGACAAUAAGAUUAAAUUAACUCUUAUUAUAAUAUACAUUAAUUUGUGAUUAAUUGAUCCAAUUUUUUUUGAUUAAAAGAAUAAGUUACCUUAGGGAUAACAGCGUAAUCUUUUUGGAGAGUUCCUAUCGAAUAAAAGGGUUGCGACCUCGAUGUUGGAUUAAAGUUAAAUUUUGACGUAAAGGUUAAGAAUUUAAGUCUGUUCGACUUUUAAAACUUUACAUGAUCUGAGU
RNAcentral lists this ribosomal RNA (526 nucleotides) under Callirhipis dissimilis. RNAcentral describes it as "partial 16S ribosomal RNA". It matches the Rfam family "Bacterial large subunit ribosomal RNA", at positions 1816 to 2610 of the family's 2925-position model. Lineage: Eukaryota; Metazoa; Arthropoda; Insecta; Coleoptera; Callirhipidae. The record is from RNAcentral.